GCUAGGUAUGGUGGUGCACACCUGUAGUCCCAGUGACUUGGGAAGCUGAGGCAGGAGGAUCACAAGUUCAAGGGAAGCUGUAGCAAUUUAGCAAGACCCUAAGCAACUUAGUGAGACCUUGUCUCCA
Molecule: small RNA, 127 nt
Filed under: Marmota monax (woodchuck)
Lineage: Eukaryota; Metazoa; Chordata; Mammalia; Rodentia; Sciuridae
Source: RNAcentral